CUGAAGAUCGCUCCUGGUGGAGUUUUCUUGUGAGCCUACAACUCUGAUGAACGUAAUCAGUACUGCAGUACGGGUUACCUCUGUAUUUCAACAAGAGCGCCUGGAGCAGCGCCAGCUCAGCAGCCCUCCGCUCUCCCAUCAGGACACUGCUGCGCCUGUCAACACUCGUGAUAACAUCUGUAACACCUGUAAGCCACUGUGUCACCUCACCAACCUAUUUCUUAAGUAUCCCACCCAUGCUAAUGCCAUUAACGAGCAUUUCAUAAUUAACUUAGGCAACCCUCAGCUCUAUAGAAGCAUCCCCGUCU
Molecule: long non-coding RNA, 308 nt
Filed under: Gallus gallus (chicken)
Lineage: Eukaryota; Metazoa; Chordata; Aves; Galliformes; Phasianidae
Description: long non-coding RNA NONGGAT008501
Source: RNAcentral